AUAGUGGGCGGGUAUUCUUAUGGAAGCACGGAGCCCUCCGUGCUUCCAAGUUGUUUUCGAUGUUCGGACUUUCGAAUCGACGAUCGGCUCCGUUAGAGUUGAUUUAGAGUAUUUGAAGUACCUAGAAAAUAAAUUUUGUGAUUUUUCGAUAUCAUUUGCCUAGUGAUCGAAGGGUUUCAAAAUCAAUAAUUUUAAUGGUCGUGGUGAACCGAUUGCAAGUUUAACGGUGUAGAAAUAUCCAAAUCACAUAAAAUUUUGAUAGAAAAUUCUUUAUA
This 275-nucleotide long non-coding RNA is filed under the name Ananas comosus (pineapple). Its description in RNAcentral is "long non-coding RNA (ACOM_LNC011394)". Lineage: Eukaryota; Viridiplantae; Streptophyta; Magnoliopsida; Poales; Bromeliaceae. The record is from RNAcentral.